Long non-coding RNA from Oreochromis niloticus (Nile tilapia), 535 nucleotides. RefSeq lists it as uncharacterized. NCBI's taxonomy places the organism in Eukaryota, Metazoa, Chordata, Actinopteri, Cichliformes, Cichlidae. The transcript is spliced from 3 exons. The record is from RefSeq and is a predicted model, not a curated record.
GACAAUCACUCUCAGAUGUGAGAUUCAGGGAGGUGAAGGAAAGGUGUGGAAAUAUGAAUGGACAGCACCCAACACAAACAGCCCUCCAACAUCCAGUGAAUACAGGAUCAGCAGAGUUUCAGUGUCCCACAGUGGAGACUACAGAUGUCGGGGUAGCAGUGACUAUCUCUUAACAGGAUGGAGUGAUGCCUUCAGACUGACAGUUUCAUCAAGUAAACCCAGAGCCAAACUGAAAGCAGAAAGUUCAAUCAUACCAGCAGGGGGCAGUGUGACACUGAGCUGCUCUGUGGAGGGCUCUGCUGGCUGGAAGUUUGACUGGUUCAGACGUGAUUCAGAGUUUUCUGGAGCUCAGAAAAUAGGAGCUGGAACAUCAGAGCACACUAUCAGUAUUUCAGAAAGAGGCAUCUAUUACUGCAGAGGAGGGAGAGGAGAUCCAGUUUUCUCCACAGAGGACAGUGCUCCAGUUACAAUUCAGAAACAAGUUUUGGCUGCUGUGAAUCUGCAGCACAGCUGGUCUCAGAUAUUCACUGGUGAG